UCUUGGGAUACUGGAAUUCUAACCUGCGGCCAUGAAUCUGGUCGGGGGACACUGUCAGGUGGGCAGUUUGACUGGGGCGGUCGCCUCCAAAAGAGUAACGGAGGCGCUCAAAGGUUCGUUCAGCACGGACGGAAAUCGUGCACUGAGUGUAAACGCAUAAACGAGCCUAACUGCGAGAAUGACGGUUCGAGCAGUAACGAAAGUUGGAGUUAGUGAUCCGGCGGUAUGUGAAUGGAAAUGCCGUCGCUCAACGGAUAAAAGCUACCCUGGGGAUAACAGGCUGAUCUCCCCCAAGAGUCCACAUCGAC
RNAcentral lists this ribosomal RNA (308 nucleotides) under gut metagenome. Its description in RNAcentral is "bacterial LSU rRNA". It matches the Rfam family "Bacterial large subunit ribosomal RNA", at positions 2204 to 2509 of the family's 2925-position model. The record is from RNAcentral.